AUGCCAGGGCAAGUUAAGGGAGAAUAUAUAGGCAGCGGCUAGGUAGGCAAGAUAAGGUUACAAAAAGUUGCCAGUAGGGGUCUCUCCAUUCUCACAGUAUGUCAAAAUCAUCACUCACUCUUGCACGAGGAAUAGAUUUAGUGCUGAAUCAAACAAAACCCAGUGCCAUCACUUGCAUAUUGGCAUCCCAGAGAUGGUUAUUGGCAUCCCAGAGAUGGCUAAUUUAACCCCCCAGUUCCUGCCUGUAGUCCCCCUUAAAGGUACCACAGGUGGACGGUAGCCUGUAGUGGGCUCCAUACCUCUGGCAAAAAACCUCAAUAGAGGUUACGGCGCCAGUAAAUGAUUGAUUGAUUGGUAGCCUAAUUGUCAUUUUUCUUUUAUACUAUUUCAGCACCAUGCUUCAACAAAGAGGAGGGAUCGGUCGGUUUUUACGGAGAACCAUAAGACCUGUUUAAAUCAAGCCAUUGAUGAUGGUGUGUGUGCCAGGGCAGACUGCAAGGACCAGAUUCAGGAACUCGCUACUGAUAUUGAACUUCCCUAUGAUACUUGUUGGGUUUAUAUCCAGAACCAUUCUAGAGGAAGGACGCAAUCAAGCCAGAAGGAUUCGAAGGUUCCAAAGUGGGGAUACAAUGGGUACACCUUAUUCCUCAAAGAGGGAGACAAAAAAGUAAAAGAGGGUGAGAAACCAAAAGAUGCAAUGAAGAGGUGGGCGGACGAGUACCGGAGCCUGGGUGACCAUACGAAGAAGAGUUUUGGGCAGCGGGCCAAGUUGCUGGGGCCUGAUUAUGCCGACCCGUUGAUUAGGCGCAAAAGGAUCAACCAGAUAUUUGGGAAUAUUGCUCAAGGUGUAAGU
Long non-coding RNA from Lineus longissimus, 853 nucleotides. RefSeq lists it as uncharacterized. Lineage: Eukaryota; Metazoa; Nemertea; Pilidiophora; Heteronemertea; Lineidae. The transcript has 3 exons. The record is from RefSeq and is a predicted model, not a curated record.